GGAGCCGGCCAGGCAGCCGCUGUGCCGCAAGGCGCGGAGGAAAGUCCGGGCUCCGCAGAGCGGGAUGCGGGGUAACACCCCGGCGUGGCGACACGACGAACAGGGCCACAGAGACGAGUCCCCGGCGUCAAAAACCGGGGGGUGAAACGGGCAACCUCCAUCCGGAGCAACACCAAAUAGGCAAGCGUUCGAGGCCUGCUCGGCCGAGCUUGCGGGUAGGUGGCUGGAGCCGCGGGGCAACCCGCGGCCAAGAGGAAUGGCUGCCAGGGCGCCCUGCCGGAAUACGGCGAGCGCCUACAGAACCCGGCUUAUCGGCCGGCUCCCCUU
RNAcentral lists this RNase P RNA (327 nucleotides) under Betaproteobacteria bacterium. RNAcentral describes it as "RNase P RNA component class A". It matches the Rfam family "Bacterial RNase P class A". From Rfam's summary of the family: Ribonuclease P (RNase P) is a ubiquitous endoribonuclease, found in archaea, bacteria and eukarya as well as chloroplasts and mitochondria. Its best characterised activity is the generation of mature 5'-ends of tRNAs by cleaving the 5'-leader elements of precursor-tRNAs. Lineage: Bacteria; Pseudomonadati; Pseudomonadota; Betaproteobacteria. The record is from RNAcentral.